GGGGUAACAUUGUAGCUUGCUACAGAUGACGACCGGCGCACGGGUGCGUAACGCGUAUAGAACUUACCUUUUACAGAGGGAUAGCCUUUAGAAAUGAAGAUUAAUACCUCAUAGUAUUGAGAACUGGCAUCGGUUUUUAAUUAAAGAUUUAUCGGUAAAAGAUGGCUAUGCGUCCUAUUAGCUAGAUGGUAAGGUAACGGCUUACCAUGGCUACGAUAGGUAGGGGCCCUGAGAGGGGGAUCCCCCACACUGGUACUGAGACACGGACCAGACUCCUACGGGAGGCAGCAGUGAGGAAUAUUGGGCAAUGGAGGAGACUCUGACCCAGCCAUGCCGCGUGCAGGAAGACUGCCCUAUGGGUUGUAAACUGCUUUUAUACAGGAAGAAACACUGCUACGUGUAGCAGCUUGACGGUACUGUAAGAAUAAGGACCGGCUAACUCCGUGCCAGCAGCCGCGGUAAUACGGAGGGUCCGAGCGUUAUCCGGAAUCAUUGGGUUUAAAGGGUCCGCAGGCGGUCGAUUAAGUCAGAGGUGAAAUCCCAUAGCUUAACUAUGGAACUGCCUUUGAUACUGGUUGACUUGAGUCAUAUGGAAGUAGAUAGAAUGUGUAGUGUAGCGGUGAAAUGCAUAGAUAUUACACAGAAUACCGAUUGCGAAGGCAGUCUACUACGUAUGUACUGACGCUCAUGGACGAAAGCGUGGGGAGCGAACAGGAUUAGAUACCCUGGUAGUCCACGCCGUAAACGAUGGACACUAGUUGUUGGGCAUUAGCUCAGUGACUAAGCGAAAGUGAUAAGUGUCCCACCUGGGGAGUACGAUCGCAAGAUUGAAACUCAAAGGAAUUGACGGGGGCCCGCACAAGCGGUGGAGCAUGUGGUUUAAUUCGAUGAUACGCGAGGAACCUUACCAGGGCUUAAAUGUAGUAUGACAGGUUUAGAGAUAGACUUUUCUUCGGACAUAUUACAAGGUGCUGCAUGGUUGUCGUCAGCUCGUGCCGUGAGGUGUCAGGUUAAGUCCUAUAACGAGCGCAACCCUUGUCGUUAGUUGCCAGCAUGUAAAGAUGGGGACUCUAACGAGACUGCCGGUGCAAACCGCGAGGAAGGUGGGGAUGACGUCAAAUCAUCACGGCCCUUACGUCCUGGGCCACACACGUGCUACAAUGGUAUGGACAAUGAGCAGCCAU
RNAcentral lists this ribosomal RNA (1184 nucleotides) under Polaribacter sp. HL2NF6. Its description in RNAcentral is "bacterial SSU rRNA". It matches the Rfam family "Bacterial small subunit ribosomal RNA", at positions 66 to 1253 of the family's 1533-position model. RNAcentral also lists the same sequence under 1 other name. Lineage: Bacteria; Pseudomonadati; Bacteroidota; Flavobacteriia; Flavobacteriales; Flavobacteriaceae. The record is from RNAcentral.